GUGAACGCUGGCGGUAGGCCUAACACAUGCAAGUCGAACGGCGGCACAGUAAGAGCUUGCUCUUACGGGUGGCGAGUGGCGGACGGGUGAGGAAUACAUCGGAAUCUACUUUUUCGUGGGGGAUAACGUAGGGAAACUUACGCUAAUACCGCAUACGACCUACGGGUGAAAGCAGGGGAUCUUCGGACCUUGCGCGAUUGAAUGAGCCGAUGUCGGAUUAGCUAGUUGGCGGGGUAAAGGCCCACCAAGGCGACGAUCCGUAGCUGGUCUGAGAGGAUGAUCAGCCACACUGGAACUGAGACACGGUCCAGACUCCUACGGGAGGCAGCAGUGGGGAAUAUUGGACAAUGGGCGCAAGCCUGAUCCAGCCAUACCGCGUGGGUGAAGAAGGCCUUCGGGUUGUAAAGCCCUUUUGUUGGGAAAGAAAAGCAGCAGGUUAAUACCCCACUGUUCUGACGGUACCCAAAGAAUAAGCACCGGCUAACUUCGUG
This 491-nucleotide ribosomal RNA is filed under the name uncultured bacterium. RNAcentral describes it as "partial 16S ribosomal RNA". It matches the Rfam family "Bacterial small subunit ribosomal RNA", at positions 29 to 507 of the family's 1533-position model. The record is from RNAcentral.